Molecule: ribosomal RNA, 253 nt
Filed under: uncultured bacterium
Lineage: Bacteria
Description: partial 16S ribosomal RNA
Rfam family: Bacterial small subunit ribosomal RNA
Source: RNAcentral
UACAGAGGUCUCAAGCGUUGUUCGGAUUCAUUGGGCGUAAAGGGUGCGUAGGCGGCGCGGUAAGUCGGGUGUGAAAGCCCGGAGCUCAACUCCGGAACUGCCAUUGAAACUGUUAGACUUGAGGAUGAGAGAGGUGAGUGGAAUUCCCAGUGUAGAGGUGAAAUUCGUAGAUAUUGGGAAGAACACCGGUGGCGAAGGCGGCUCACUGGCUCAUUACUGACGCUCAGGCGCGAUAGCGUGGGGAUCAAACAGG